GGACACGUAGCUCAAAUGGCAAGAGCACAGCCUUUUACGCGGAUGGACGCGGGUUCGAUUCCCGCCGUGUCCA
Phytophthora megakarya is the source of this 73-nucleotide transfer RNA. It matches the Rfam family "tRNA". From Rfam's summary of the family: Transfer RNA (tRNA) molecules are approximately 80 nucleotides in length. Their secondary structure includes four short double-helical elements and three loops (D, anti-codon, and T loops). Further hydrogen bonds mediate the characteristic L-shaped molecular structure. tRNAs have two regions of fundamental functional importance: the anti-codon, which is responsible for specific mRNA codon recognition, and the 3' end, to which the tRNAs corresponding amino acid is attached (by aminoacyl-tRNA synthetases). tRNAs cope with the degeneracy of the genetic code in two manners: having more than one tRNA (with a specific anti-codon) for a particular amino acid; and 'wobble' base-pairing, i.e. permitting non-standard base-pairing at the 3rd anti-codon position. NCBI's taxonomy places the organism in Eukaryota, Oomycota, Peronosporomycetes, Peronosporales, Peronosporaceae. The record is from Rfam.